GCGGAGUCUCGAGACCAGCAUAUUACAACCUUAAGGACGCCAUGGGGAACGAACGUCUCUAAUUUCUACCAUAGAGUUAUCGAGGGCUAGCACGGACCAUAGCUACUACCGGCGCUUUCCGGCCGUUAUCGGAUGUUGAAUGGCUAUGUUUCCCUUUCCCGCGUCUUUUCUCCGAGAGCAUGCUGGGAAACGUUAUUAAAGAAACACGUCUUCCGUUUCAUUGGUCUUUCCUGUGCCGCGCUCGACGGAGAUGGGAAGUCUCGCCAGGGGCUGUUAGGGGGAAAGCAAGGUUACUACAGAAUUGGUGGAAAGAAGAAGGUGCUUUAAUAAUUGAUUACAGAAUUCAUCUGCAGCUGACAAAGUGAUGUUUAUAUUUCAAUAAAAAUAUAUAAAAACCGAA
Pantherophis guttatus is the source of this 400-nucleotide non-coding RNA. Lineage: Eukaryota; Metazoa; Chordata; Lepidosauria; Squamata; Colubridae. The record is from RefSeq and is a predicted model, not a curated record.